This 879-nucleotide long non-coding RNA is filed under the name Zalophus californianus (California sea lion). Its description in RNAcentral is "lncRNA (ENSZCAG00015020014.1)". The record is from RNAcentral. Lineage: Eukaryota; Metazoa; Chordata; Mammalia; Carnivora; Otariidae.
UACCACCUCAUAAUGCUGGCUUCUGAAAUCAUAUGGAAAGGAGUCACCGAGAAACUCGCUGCCAUGUGAAUCAUCUCGCAUGAACCAUCUCUGUUCCCAUGGCCAAUCUUCCUGGAUAGUUAGCCUAUAUUCUUUUAAUUGUGGAUUUGAACACUUUGAACGCAAAAGGCACAAAUACAGUUAAAAACCUUCGAAGGAUGCCCUGGAGGAAGAGUCUCCCAACCAAAAUUUUACUUCCUAUCCUAGCUUCCCGCUGCAUGGUUACUAAAUCCUUUUGCUUUUUCUUUUCUUCGUUUUCAUAAUUCAACUUGAGUACAUCCAAGUGAUCUUCGGAGGGAAAAAAAAAUCCAAAUGUUGAACUGGAAUUGGAUUAAAGUUUUGUAUUUAGGGUAAAAGUGGAAGGGUACUCCCAUGAGAAAAAUUUGGAGGAGCAUCACGUUUAGGUCAUGGCUGUCUUAUUAUGGGGGUAUUUGAAAAACUCAAAAACGUGUUUAGCAAAGUACAAAGAGGACAAUGGAUGUCACUGUUCAAGGGCUGUGUGCAACUGUGUGGAAGGGUUCCACACAGCACUUUAGUACAAAAUGCUCAGGGAAAAAAAAAAAACUGUGCUUAUUCUUAUUCUUCAUCUGGGUCUCAUGAAUACAACGUAGAUAAGGUAGGAUGUGAUUUAAGAAGAGGACAUCAGGAAAAACAAGAUUCAGCUGUGUCUGUGUGCUGUGUUGAUGUAAUUAUAACUCCAUGCUGAAUUGAGUUUUUUCUAGCAAAUCACUGAACAUAUGGAUGGUCUUGGAGACCCCUCCAAAAGAGUCACCUAAUUACAUAAAAUACCAAUUAGUAUGAAAUAAAACAGUAGAAGUUGCCUUUUUCAAUCCCUCAAGA